This 30-nucleotide non-coding RNA is filed under the name Mus musculus (house mouse). The record is from RNAcentral. Lineage: Eukaryota; Metazoa; Chordata; Mammalia; Rodentia; Muridae.
UAGGAAGUUCUAGACCUUUGGGUUCCAACC